UACGUAGGGUGCGAGCGUUGUCCGGAGUUAUUGGGCGUAAAGGGCUUGUAGGCGGUCUGUUGCGUCGGGAGUGAAAACUCAGGGCUUAACCCUGAGCCUGCUUCCGAUACGGGCAGACUAGAGGUAUGCAGGGGAGAACGGAAUUCCUGGUGUAGCGGUGAAAUGCGCAGAUAUCAGGAGGAACACCGGUGGCGAAGGCGGGUCUCUGGGCCGAUACUGACGCUGAGGAGCGAAAGCGUGGGGAGCGAACAGG
This 253-nucleotide ribosomal RNA is filed under the name uncultured bacterium. RNAcentral describes it as "partial 16S ribosomal RNA". It matches the Rfam family "Bacterial small subunit ribosomal RNA", at positions 524 to 776 of the family's 1533-position model. The record is from RNAcentral.